AGAGGUUCUCGGGUGAUGCACCCAGAACCAGAGAGGAGGGAGCCUGAUUCCAGGGUGCAUCACCCGAGAACUGCC
Molecule: non-coding RNA, 75 nt
Organism: Myotis davidii
Lineage: Eukaryota; Metazoa; Chordata; Mammalia; Chiroptera; Vespertilionidae
Source: Rfam